RNAcentral lists this transfer RNA (72 nucleotides) under Chrysops niger (black deer fly). RNAcentral describes it as "tRNA-Val". It matches the Rfam family "tRNA". Rfam says of the family: Transfer RNA (tRNA) molecules are approximately 80 nucleotides in length. Their secondary structure includes four short double-helical elements and three loops (D, anti-codon, and T loops). Further hydrogen bonds mediate the characteristic L-shaped molecular structure. tRNAs have two regions of fundamental functional importance: the anti-codon, which is responsible for specific mRNA codon recognition, and the 3' end, to which the tRNAs corresponding amino acid is attached (by aminoacyl-tRNA synthetases). tRNAs cope with the degeneracy of the genetic code in two manners: having more than one tRNA (with a specific anti-codon) for a particular amino acid; and 'wobble' base-pairing, i.e. permitting non-standard base-pairing at the 3rd anti-codon position. The record is from RNAcentral. RNAcentral also lists the same sequence under 2 other names. Lineage: Eukaryota; Metazoa; Arthropoda; Insecta; Diptera; Tabanidae.
CAAUUUAAAGCUUAUUUAGUAAAGUUUUUCAUUUACAUUGAAAAGAUAUUUGUGCAAAUCAAAUUAAAUUGA